This 837-nucleotide ribosomal RNA is filed under the name uncultured Sulfurovum sp. RNAcentral's name for it is "bacterial SSU rRNA". It matches the Rfam family "Bacterial small subunit ribosomal RNA", at positions 524 to 1361 of the family's 1533-position model. The record is from RNAcentral. Lineage: Bacteria; Pseudomonadati; Campylobacterota; Epsilonproteobacteria; Campylobacterales; Sulfurovaceae.
UACGGAGGGUGCAAGCGUUACUCGGAAUCACUGGGCGUAAAGCGCGCGCAGGCGGCUAGAUAAGUUGGAAGUGAAAUCCUAUGGCUCAACCAUAGAACUGCUUCCAAAACUGUUUAGCUAGAGUCUGGGAGGGGAAGAUGGAAUUAGUAGUGUAGGGGUAAAAUCCGUAGAGAUUACUAGGAAUACCAAAAGCGAAGGCGAUCUUCUGGAACAGUACUGACGCUGAGGCGCGAAAGCGUGGGGAGCAAACAGGAUUAGAUACCCUGGUAGUCCACGCCCUAAACGAUGAAUGUUAGUCGUCGGGACUCUAGUAGUUUCGGUGAUGCAGUUAACACAUUAAACAUUCCGCCUGGGGAGUACGGUCGCAAGAUUAAAACUCAAAGGAAUAGACGGGGACCCGCACAAGUGGUGGAGCAUGUGGUUUAAUUCGAAGAUACGCGAAGAACCUUACCUAGCCUUGACAUAUUUUAGAACUCCGCAGAGAUGUAGAGGUGCCUUCGGGAGCUAAUAUACAGGUGCUGCACGGCUGUCGUCAGCUCGUGUCGUGAGAUGUUGGGUUAAGUCCCGCAACGAGCGCAACCCUCGUUCUUAGUUACUAACGGUUCGGCCGAGGACUCUAAGAAGACUGCCUUCGUAAGGAGGAGGAAGGUGAGGACGACGUCAAGUCAUCAUGGCCCUUACGGCUAGGGCAACACGCGUGCUACAAUGGUUAGGACAAUGAGACGCAAUACCGCGAGGUGGAGCAAAUCUAUAAACCUAAUCUCAGUUCGGAUUGUAGUCUGCAACUCGACUACAUGAAGCUGGAAUCACUAGUAAUCGUAGAUCAGCUAUGCUACG